RNAcentral lists this long non-coding RNA (1294 nucleotides) under Manihot esculenta (cassava). RNAcentral's name for it is "long non-coding RNA (MESC_LNC010236)". Lineage: Eukaryota; Viridiplantae; Streptophyta; Magnoliopsida; Malpighiales; Euphorbiaceae. The record is from RNAcentral.
UGCGACUCGAUAAAGGUUAUUCCCAGAUAUGUUGAUAGCUUACAAUCAGAAGCCAACUCUUCUUCAAAUCGGCUGGAGUAGAGGGAAAAAGACCGACUCUUAACUUUAGCAUCCCGAAGAGUACCAUUUCUAGGUCUUGGCCCUUCGAAGGCGCUGCUCUGUCGAAAUCGAGGUCAGAUAGACUUCCAUCUUCUACUUAUUAUACAUUAUACAGAAUUGUAUCUAUCUCUAUCUUACCGCAUCAAAGACAGAUUCAACAAGGCAAGAUUCAGCAUUAACUUCAGGAAGCCAAGAAGUCAGUCAGCAUUCAGCUGUAGAAUUGAACUUGAACUCUAAGCCGAAUCGACUUUUGGGGAUAAGAAGCGCUUUGCGAAUAAAAGAAGUUGUUAAAUAAGAUCAGGUAUUCCAGAUCCACAGCUAGAUAGAAUGAAUCCACGGGCCUUAUAUAAUCAAACUGUGCUUUGAAGUUGGCGAAUAAGUGGUAGUUCACAUAGAUAUUCAGAAAAGUCUUUCUAGCCGGAAUGAGACUAAUCUAGUAAAGGGAGCCUUUCUUUAGGGAAAGAACUGUUAGUCAAGGCACGAUGAGGAACUACUGACAAUGGUGGGAAAGAAGAAAGCUGGCAAUGCACAUCUGAAACAGGGCUUGUAAGCAUGAAAUUCAGUUGCUAGCUGGACUGACUUUCUUCGCCUUCCCUCUCUUUCGGUUUCUUUGCUUCAGAAAGUCAUUUAGAAAGAUCCGCUGUUCCAGAUCCGUUCUUUGCAUCGCUUGAAGGCAUAAGUGGAAAAUCCAAUAUCCAAUAGAAUAGUUAGAGUAGAUCCUAUUCUAGAUGGAUUAGAAACCUUACCUUAUUGGCUUAAGCAUCUUCUUUUUUCCAUGAAGAGGAAGAAGACCGGGUUCUCGAAUCCCCUGCUAAGAAAAGGGGCUCUUGUACUUUAUUAAAGGGAAGGAAUUUACAAAGAGAAGAAGGGCAACUAGGCUUCUUUGCGCAAUUCAAUCAAUGGUUACCCCACAUACAGAAUGAAUAAGCUGCUAGGAAGGAGGACGCUGAGACAAAGAACUUCACUUCGACGCUGGGUAAGACUUCCUACAUCUUUGGAAUUGAAUCAAAAUAUAUAGUCUAUAUAUAGAGAGAUAGAAAGGAUCAAAGGCUUGUAAGCAUAUCAGCUAGUCUCUUCUUUUUACUUCAUACUCAAUCAGUCUUUCCCGUUGAAAUGGAUUCUAUCCUCCAACUACUAAGCUUUAUGCUCUGUGAAUAAGAAUCUUAUUCUCAAGCCCUAUCCCUUAGGCUUAAUG